UACGUAGGGCGCAAGCGUUGUCCGGAAUUAUUGGGCGUAAAGAGCUCGUAGGCGGUCUGUCGCGUCUGCUGUGAAAUCCCGAGGCUCAACCUCGGGCUUGCAGUGGGUACGGGCAGACUAGAGUGCGGUAGGGGAGAAUGGAAUUCCUGGUGUAGCGGUGGAAUGCGCCAGAUAUCAGGAGGAACACCGAUGGCGAAGCAGUUCUCUGGCCGUAACUGACGCUGAGGAGCGAAAGCGUGGGAGCGAACAGGAUUAGAU
RNAcentral lists this ribosomal RNA (258 nucleotides) under uncultured Actinomycetales bacterium. Its description in RNAcentral is "partial 16S ribosomal RNA". It matches the Rfam family "Bacterial small subunit ribosomal RNA", at positions 524 to 783 of the family's 1533-position model. The record is from RNAcentral. Lineage: Bacteria; Bacillati; Actinomycetota; Actinomycetes; Actinomycetales.